This 496-nucleotide ribosomal RNA is filed under the name uncultured bacterium. RNAcentral's name for it is "partial 16S ribosomal RNA". It matches the Rfam family "Bacterial small subunit ribosomal RNA", at positions 28 to 507 of the family's 1533-position model. The record is from RNAcentral.
GAUGAACGCUGCGGCCUGCCCAAAAAAUGCAAAUCGAACGGAACAGACAAGAACUUGGCUCCUCGGACUUUACCGCCGGACGGGGGAGAACACGUGGAAAACCCUCCUUAUAGAAUGGGAAUAACUCGGGGAAACGGGACCUAUACCGGAAAAUAUAUUUAAACGCAUGGGUCAAUUAUGAAAAACCGGUUUUCUUUUGCCUAUUGAUGGAUCCGCGCCGCAUUAGCUAGUUGGUAAGGUAACGGCUUACCAAGGCAACGAUGCGUAGCCGACCUGAGAGGGUGAUCGGCCACACUGGAACUGAGACACGGUCCAGACUCCUACGGGAGGCAGCAGUAGGGAAUCUUCCGCAAUGGGCGAAAGCCUGACGGAGCAACGCCGCGUGAGUGAUGAAGGUCUUCGGAUCGUAAAACUCUGUUAUUAGGGAAGAACAAAUGUGUAAGUAACUAUGCACGUCUUGACGGUACCUAAUCAGAAAGCCACGGCUAACUACGUG